AUUGAACGCUGGCGGCGUGCCUAACACAUGCAAGUCGAGCGGCAGCGCGGGAGCAAUCCUGGCGGCGAGCGGCGGACGGGUGAGUAAUGCUUGGGAAUCUGCCUGUUAGUGGGGGACAACCCGGGGAAACUCGGGCUAAUACCGCAUACGCACUACGGUGGAAAGCCGGGGACCGCAAGGCCUGGCGCUAACAGAUGAGCCCAAGUCGGAUUAGCUAGUUGGUAGGUAACGGCCACCAAGGCGACGAUCCGUAACUGGUCUGAGAGGACGACCAGUCACACCGGAACUGAGACACGGUCCGGACUCCUACGGGAGGCAGCAGUGGGAAUAUUGGACAAUGGGGAAACCCUGAUCCAGCGACGCCGCGUGGGUGAAG
RNAcentral lists this ribosomal RNA (376 nucleotides) under uncultured bacterium. RNAcentral's name for it is "bacterial SSU rRNA". It matches the Rfam family "Bacterial small subunit ribosomal RNA", at positions 29 to 410 of the family's 1533-position model. The record is from RNAcentral.